GAUGAACGCUAGCUACAGGCUUAACACAUGCAAGUCGAGGGGAAACGACAUCGAAAGCUUGCUUUUGAUGGGCGUCGACCGGCGCACGGGUGAGUAACGCGUAUCCAACCUGCCCACCACUUGGGGAUAACCUUGCGAAAGUAAGACUAAUACCCAAUGACAUCUCUAGAAGACAUCUGAAAGAGAUUAAAGAUUUAUCGGUGAUGGAUGGGGAUGCGUCUGAUUAGCUUGUUGGCGGGGUAACGGCCCACCAAGGCGACGAUCAGUAGGGGUUCUGAGAGGAAGGUCCCCCACAUUGGAACUGAGACACGGUCCAAACUCCUACGGGAGGCAGCAGUGAGGAAUAUUGGUCAAUGGACGAGAGUCUGAACCAGCCAAGUAGCGUGCAGGAUGACGGCCCUAUGGGUUGUAAACUGCUUUUAUAAGGGAAUAAAGUGAGUCUCGUGAGACUUUUUGCAUGUACCUUAUGAAUAAGGACCGGCUAAUUCCGUG
This 492-nucleotide ribosomal RNA is filed under the name uncultured bacterium. RNAcentral describes it as "partial 16S ribosomal RNA". It matches the Rfam family "Bacterial small subunit ribosomal RNA", at positions 28 to 507 of the family's 1533-position model. The record is from RNAcentral.